UGAGGAAUAUUGGUCAAUGGGCGAGAGCCUGAUGCAGCGACGCCGCGUGAGCGAAGAAGGUUUUCGAAUCGUAAAGCUCUGUCCUAUGAGAAGAUAAUGACGGUAUCAUAGGAGGAAGCCCCGGCUAAAUACGUGCCAGCAGCCGCGGUAAUACGUAUGGGGCGAGCGUUGUCCGGAAUUAUUGGGCGUAAAGGGUACGUAGGCGGUCUAUUAAGUCAGGUGUGAAAGCGUGAGGCUUAACCUCAUUAAGCACUUGAAACUGAUAGACUUGAGUGAAGGAGAGGAAAGUGGAAUUCCUAGUGUAGCGGUGAAAUGCGUAGAUAUUAGGAGGAAUACCGGUGGCGAAGGCGACUUUCUGGACUUUUACUGACGCUCAGGUACGAAAGCGUGGGGAGCAAACAGG
RNAcentral lists this ribosomal RNA (403 nucleotides) under Verrucomicrobiota bacterium. RNAcentral's name for it is "Verrucomicrobia bacterium partial 16S ribosomal RNA". It matches the Rfam family "Bacterial small subunit ribosomal RNA", at positions 355 to 776 of the family's 1533-position model. Lineage: Bacteria; Pseudomonadati; Verrucomicrobiota. The record is from RNAcentral.